GCUGGGUGUGGUGGCUCACGCCUGUAAUCCCAGCACUUUGGGAGGCCAAGGUGGGAAGAUUGCUUGAGCCCGGGAGUUUGAGACCAGCCUGGGCAACAUAGCAAGGUCCUAUCUUUU
Homo sapiens (human) is the source of this 117-nucleotide non-coding RNA. It matches the Rfam family "Metazoan signal recognition particle RNA". From Rfam's summary of the family: The signal recognition particle (SRP) is a universally conserved ribonucleoprotein. It is involved in the co-translational targeting of proteins to membranes. The record is from Rfam. Lineage: Eukaryota; Metazoa; Chordata; Mammalia; Primates; Hominidae.